AAAUGCGAUAAGUAAUGUGAAUUGCAGAAUUCAGUGAAUCAUCGAAUCUUUGAACGCACCUUGCGCUCCUUGGUAUUCCUUGGAGCAUGCCUGUUUGAGUAUCAUGAAAUCUUCAAAGUAAAUCUUUUGUUAACUCAAUUGGUUUCUACUUUGGUAUUGGAGGUCUUUGCAGCUUCACACCUGCUCCUCUUUGUUCAUUAGCUGGAUCUCAGUGUUAUGCUUGGUUCCACUCGGCGUGAUAAGUUAUCUAUCGCUGAGGACACUGUAAAAGGUGGCCAAGGUAAAUGCAGAUGAACCACUUCUAAUAGUCCAUUGACUUGGACAAUACUUUUAUGAUCUGAUCUCAAAUCAGGUAGGACUACCCGCUGAACUUAAGC
Molecule: unclassified non-coding RNA, 377 nt
Filed under: plant metagenome
Description: partial contains 5.8S ribosomal RNA, internal transcribed spacer 2, and large subunit ribosomal RNA
Rfam family: 5.8S ribosomal RNA (bases 1-104)
Source: RNAcentral